CCUACUCGCAGGAUUGGACUUAGCCAAGGAGCUAAAAAUCAAGAACCUGGUGAUCAACACAGAUUCACAAUUAGUAGCCGAUCAGAUACAAGGCAUGUAUGAAAUAAAAGAACAGAAUCUAAAGGAUUACAAAGAGGCAGCCCUUAAAGCAAUACAAAACUUUGAUUCAAUUAAAAUAAACCUGGUAAAAAGGGAUUAUUUCGAAGAAGCAGAUGUCUUAGCAAAGAUCGGAGCAGCAAAAACUCAUCUCAGGAGAAAUGGAUACAGGUAAGUAGCCUAAUCUCCCCCUCAAUACAGGAAAAUUUAGAAAUCGCAAUCUCCAAGAAAGAUUGGAGAGAAGAAAUAAUCAAUUUCAUAAAAGGCGCAGAAUUCAAAGGAGACAAGUUCGAAGAAAGAAAAAUCAGAAAUCAAGCAGCUCACUACAUCCUGGAAGAAGAAGAACUAUACAGAAGAGAGACAGAUACCUUUCCGCUCCGCACUUGCGUCGCAAAGGAAGAAGGUAAAGAUAUCGCCUUAAGUAUCCACAACGGAGAUGGUGUCAGAAGACUAUACCUCCAAGUGUCAAGACAAGGAUAUUUCUGACCAUCUAUGAAACAGGACACACGUGAAAUAGUGAAAAAAUGCCCAGAAUGUCAGAAAUACGCAAAUAUACAACAUCGUCCGUCUAUCAAACUAACCUCCCUUAAUACAGUUGUACCUUUCGCCAGAUGGGGAUUGGACAUAAUCGGACCUUUCCCAGUCGCAAGGAAAGGUAGAAAAUAUGCUUUUGUAGCCAUCGAAUACUUCACCAAAUAGGCCGAGGUAGAACCGGUCAAAUCCAUAACUCAGGACAACGCGGUAAAAUUUAUGUUCAGAAACAUCAUCUGCAAAUUCGGAGUCCCAAUUCAGAUUAUCACAGAUAACGGAACACAGUUCGCGGAAAAAGCGAUGAAGAAUUUC
RNAcentral lists this long non-coding RNA (939 nucleotides) under Zostera marina. RNAcentral's name for it is "long non-coding RNA (ZMAR_LNC004222)". The record is from RNAcentral. Lineage: Eukaryota; Viridiplantae; Streptophyta; Magnoliopsida; Alismatales; Zosteraceae.